Molecule: transfer RNA, 65 nt
Filed under: Drosophila erecta
Lineage: Eukaryota; Metazoa; Arthropoda; Insecta; Diptera; Drosophilidae
Description: tRNA-Phe
Source: RNAcentral
ACUCAAAUAGCUUAUAUUAAGAGUAUGACAUUGAAGAGUUAUGGAGAUUAUUUAAUCUUUGAGUA